GUCAAUGCCAGUGGCCCGCAUCGACAAUUGCCCAAUAAUCCACAAGAGAUCAAGAGAGGAACGCAUCGAACAUAUUUCAUCCGCCAACUCAUAAGACAGCAGCAUGUCGUUAAUGUCAACAUACAAUAUGGCAUAAAUACUCGUAUGUUCAAUAUUUAUGGCUAUUUCGAAUUUCUAUAUACAAGUAAAUGACAAACAAAGAAAAUCAAUAACGAUUUGCAUAAUUUUCAACAUUUCACGCUGCCUAAUUCGGUUUUGGGGAUUGGGAAUGGGAACUCGAAUUGGAAUUGGAAUUGGAACCGAUAUAAAAAAGAGUAGAAAGAAAGAAACAAACAAAAAUACAAAAAACCGCCAACGAAAAUUUACGAAACUGUCAACGGGCACAAUCUUGGGUCAUUUCAAAUGAUGUAAUAUAAAUAAACGGCGACUAAUCAGGUUUUAAACUUUAAGCGAAAUUGUAACACAAAUCGCCGAUAGUAAAUAUGAAUUUGUAAUAAACUAAAAAUUGGACUCAAACUGAAGAAAUGUGCAUACAUUAAAAUGCAAACCAAAACCAAAAACCGAAA
Drosophila sulfurigaster albostrigata is the source of this 566-nucleotide long non-coding RNA. RefSeq lists it as uncharacterized. The transcript is spliced from 2 exons. The record is from RefSeq and is a predicted model, not a curated record. Lineage: Eukaryota; Metazoa; Arthropoda; Insecta; Diptera; Drosophilidae.